This 380-nucleotide ribosomal RNA is filed under the name uncultured cyanobacterium. RNAcentral's name for it is "bacterial SSU rRNA". It matches the Rfam family "Bacterial small subunit ribosomal RNA", at positions 376 to 770 of the family's 1533-position model. Lineage: Bacteria; Bacillati; Cyanobacteriota. The record is from RNAcentral.
CGCAAGCCUGACGGAGCAAGACCGCGUGGGGGAGGAAGGCUCUAGGGUUGUAAACCCCUUUUCUUUGGGAAGAACAAAAUGACGGUACCUGACGAAUCAGCAUCGGCUAACUCCGUGCCAGCAGCCGCGGUAAUACGGAGGAGGCAAGCGUUAUCCGGAAUGAUUGGGCGUAAAGCGUCCGCAGGUGGCAAUGUAAGUCUGCUGUCAAAACCCAGGGCUCAACUCUGGUCAGGCAGUGGAAACUACAUAGCUAGAGGGCGGUAGGGGCAGAGGGAAUUCCCGGUGUAGCGGUGAAAUGCGUAGAGAUCGGGAAGAACACCGGUGGCGAAAGCGCUCUGCUGGGCCGCAACUGACACUGAGGGACGAAAGCUAGGGGAGCG